GGUUAUGCAGCGGUCAGUAUCCCCGCCUGUCACGUGGCAGGCCGGGGUUCGAUUCCCCGCCG
Molecule: transfer RNA, 62 nt
Filed under: Dryococelus australis
Lineage: Eukaryota; Metazoa; Arthropoda; Insecta; Phasmatodea; Phasmatidae
Description: tRNA-OTHER
Source: RNAcentral